AAAGCUUUAAGUUAAAACUAAACCGUAACCUUCAAAGUUAUAAAUAUAAAUUAUUUUUAUAAGCUUUA
This 68-nucleotide transfer RNA is filed under the name Mystilus priamus. RNAcentral describes it as "tRNA-Trp". Lineage: Eukaryota; Metazoa; Arthropoda; Insecta; Hemiptera; Miridae. The record is from RNAcentral.